This 492-nucleotide ribosomal RNA is filed under the name uncultured bacterium. Its description in RNAcentral is "partial 16S ribosomal RNA". It matches the Rfam family "Bacterial small subunit ribosomal RNA", at positions 29 to 507 of the family's 1533-position model. The record is from RNAcentral.
AGUGAACGCUGGCGGUAGGCCUAACACAUGCAAGUCGAACGGCAGCACAGUAAGAGCUUGCUCUUACGGGUGGCGAGUGGCGGACAGGUGAGGAAUACAUCGGAAUCUACUUUUUCGUGGGGGAUAACGUAGGGAAACUUACGCUAAUACCGCAUACGACCUACGGGUGAAAGCAGGGGAUCUUCGGACCUUGCGCGAUUGAAUGAGCCGAUGUCGGAUUAGCUAGUUGGCGGGGUAAAGGCCCACCAAGGCGACGAUCCGUAGCUGGUCUGAGAGGAUGAUCAGCCACACUGGAACUGAGACACGGUCCAGACUCCUACGGGAGGCAGCAGCGGGGAAUAUUGGACAAUGGGCGCAAGCCUGAUCCAGCCAUACCGCGUGGGUGAAGAAGGCCUUCGGGUUGUAAAGCCCUUUUGUUGGGAAAGAAAAGCAGCAGGUUAAUACCCCGCUGUUCUGACGGUACCCAAAGAAUAAGCACCGGCUAACUUCGUG